This 492-nucleotide ribosomal RNA is filed under the name uncultured bacterium. RNAcentral describes it as "partial 16S ribosomal RNA". It matches the Rfam family "Bacterial small subunit ribosomal RNA", at positions 29 to 507 of the family's 1533-position model. The record is from RNAcentral.
AGUGAACGCUGGCGGUGGACCUAACACAUGCAAGUCGAACGGCAGCACAGUAAGAGCUUGCUCUUACGGGUGGCGAGUGGCGGACGGGUGAGGAAUACAUCGGAAUCUACUUUUUCGUGGGGGAUAACGUAGGGAAACUUACGCUAAUACCGCAUACGACCUACGGGUGAAAGCAGGGGAUCUUCGGACCUUGCGCGAUUGAAUGAGCCGAUGUCGGAUUAGCUAGUUGGCGGGGUAAAGGCCCACCAAGGCGACGAUCCGUAGCUGGUCUGAGAGGAUGAUCAGCCACACUGGAACUGAGACACGGUCCAGACUCCUACGGGAGGCAGCAGUGGGGAAUAUUGGACAAUGGGCGCAAGCCUGAUCCAGCCAUACCGCGUGGGUGAAGAAGGCCUUCGGGUUGUAAAGCCCUUUUGUUGGGAAAGAAAAGCAGCAGGUUAAUACCCCGCUGUUCUGACGGUACCCAAAGAAUAAGCACCGGCUAACUUCGUG